RNAcentral lists this long non-coding RNA (471 nucleotides) under Nicotiana benthamiana. RNAcentral describes it as "long non-coding RNA (NBEN_LNC042398)". Lineage: Eukaryota; Viridiplantae; Streptophyta; Magnoliopsida; Solanales; Solanaceae. The record is from RNAcentral.
GUCAAAUGAUGAACCAAUUAUAUAUGGGGCCUUUUAUACUCAACCAUGACAUGCUAAAGUCAACAUGCACACAACACUCUAAAUCAAGAAAAUAAGUCUCUUUUGUGGAAGAAGACCAAAUUUACCUCUCUUUCUAAGCCAUCAAUUCUGAUUAUUAUUUUUCGGUCGGAUCAGUAAUGAAAGACUCUGCUCGAUAUAAGUUCGAAUAUCAUUAACAAUAUUCUGAAUUAAUAUUUUAUUUUGUGCGAAUUCGAAAGAUAAAACUAAUUGCAAACUUGUUAAGAUACAAAGAAAAGAAUCACACUCCAUGGAAAACAAUUCUUUAUAGUAACAUAGAUAUCAAUAAAUCAAUGUUUAUAUACAAUUCAAACGACAGAAAAUAUUUCACAAACCAAACAAACUAGACUAAUCUAAAAUUUAUCAAUCUAUCUUUUUCAAAACCUUUUAAUCAAAAUAAUAUGAAGAGGGGNN